This is a non-coding RNA of Pantherophis guttatus, 4852 nucleotides long. Lineage: Eukaryota; Metazoa; Chordata; Lepidosauria; Squamata; Colubridae. The record is from RefSeq and is a predicted model, not a curated record.
CCUUUACAUCAUCCUCACCCAUGACUCAACUACCUCAAUCCUCAUCGAGACCUGACCCUGACAAUCAUCCCGACCGUAACCCUGACACCCACCAUGAAGAACCUGAUGAAGGAGUCACCCCAGAACUUAUCUGUUAUUCAGAUGCUGAUUGGGCAGGGGAUGAAAAAUCAAGAAAAAGCACAUCAGGCUUUAUAUACUUCCUAAAUGGUUGUCCCAUAGACUGGUGCGUUUGUCGCCAAAACUUCAUUGCUAAUUCCACUGCCGAAGCUGAAUAUGCCAGUGCUUCUGACGCUUGCACACUUCUCACAUGGAUAUACGAAUUAGUUUCAGAUAUUUGGACACAACCUUCACUACCUAUCACUCUCCACGAGGACAAUGAGUCCGUUAUAGCCUCUUCGGUCAGCUUCAGAUCUCACCAUAUUGAUAUACAUUAUAAAAAUGUGAGAGACCUAAUUAAAAAGGGUUUUGUUGAAUUUGUUCGUUGCGAUACCAAAGACCAAACUGUCGAUUUCUUAACUAAACCUUGUGAAACACAUUGGAACCACUGCAAAUCAGUUGGACUGUACUUAUAAUUUAUUUUUUCUUAUACUUGUGUUUAUUAUUAUCUUUGAACACUGUUCCAUCACACUUGGCAAUAGAAGGGGUCUGUCAGAAUAUUGCCUGCUUAUGAUGCACCAGGGACUAGAAGGGGUUAAGUCUUUACAGACAUCACAUGUGACUAUAUCAGCCAAUGAACUCUUUAUUGGACUCUUACCCAGAAACCACUUGGACAUCUUCCCUGUUUUUUUUCUCUCUCUCAUCUAUCUCUCAGCAAGACAACACGUGAACUUCUCUCUCCUCUCAACAUCUGAGUCAUACAGUUAGGGUAAAAAGUGCAACAGGACACCUUGUUCAUUAUUGUAUGCAUGUAUAUAUUUUGUAAAUAAUAAAACAACUUUUUGAACCUGAAGCUGUAUUGACCAAAUAACUUCCUCAUAGAACCAAAUGAGCACGACCAUCAAUAGGGCAAUACUGAAAUUUAAGUUGAGAGUGCCAUCUGCUGACGAAAGGAAAAAUUACAAGUCUGGGAAUACCUAUAUGUGCGACUGUGAAAAUAUUUACUGGAUUAUCCUUAACUCUACCCCAUGAUUACUGGAGACUCAAAUACAAAAAUAAGGAAGCUAUCUAAUUAAAGGGACCCCUGAAUGUUAUGUUAGAAGAUUGAACCUGUAAAGGAGAUGCAAAGAGGCUUUGGAUAAACUCUGGGACUAUUUAAUUGGAAUUGAUUGUAUACUUGUGGGAUAUAAAGAGCUGUGAUUAGUAUACUCCUUGAAGGGAAAUUUAAGGACUGAAUAAACAGUUGAACUGUUUAAAACAAAACAAGAUACUUUAUAAGGAUGAAAUGAGUGGAACUUUGAAGGAGAUGGCGUUACUUUUUCAAAACACAAAGGAUAUCAUAGAGAAAGGUUUUAAGGAGAUUACGGAAAAAAUGGAAAAUACUAUACGAGGGAUGAUGAGUAAAGACCAAGACAUCCAGGAAAGGGAGGAGCCAAGAGAAGAAUUGGAGGAAAAGAUUGAGCUGAAGAACCAGAGAAGAAAAGAAGAAAAACAAGGAGGAGAUAACAAUGAAAAUAACAGUGACUGAUCAAUUAAAUGAGGGGAAAACAUAUUAAAAGAGUUGAAAAGAGAAUUGGAGAUACAGGAAGAUACCCUUGAAAGGGAGUUAGGGGCCUGGGUAGAAAUUGUGGAAGGUAGGCAAUGGAAGAGGGUAGAUGUGGUAGAAAUAUCUAGAUUGAACAGCCAAGAAGUAGAGAGAUAGUAGAGAUAGAGAUAAAGAUCCAAGAGAGGAAUAUGGGAGGCAAGUCAAAAAAAGCAUAGCAAUUAAAGUAUUGAAGCAGGCAAGAGACAAUGGAUAGAUGAUUUCUCCUUUUUGUUGUUGUUCUGACUUGCUUUUCUUUUUCUCUUUCUUUGCUUUUUUUAGGUAGGUGACAUGAUUAGAAGUUAGGUAGGAUAGAAAGAAAAUGUUUUUUUAAUGAAGGGUGACAUGACUAAAAGUUAGAAUAAGAGAUAGAAAUAAGAGGAGAGGGAAUGUUAGUGUAUAUAAUUUUAUGUAAUAAAAUAAAAGUAAUAAUGAGAAAAUUGAAUAAUUGGAUAAUUGCAAUCUAAUAUAAAUGUGUAUUAUUAAUAGAAAUAUAUGUUGAUUGAAUGUAAUAAUUGAUUAAUUCUACUAGCUUUAUUUGUAUUAGAAUGUAUGACACCUAGGUGCCACACUGUUCAUGCAUUGAUAUGUUUGUAAAAAAACUUUAAAAAAAUACAGCAGAAAGAGACAAAGUGUAUCCAGAAGGGAAUGUUCAGUAGGCACAAAAAUAUUAAAAAGAGCUACAAGAUUCCAAAAGAGAGAGAUAAAAGGCUGACUAAAAAGUCAAUAAAUGAUGGAAUUUUAAAAAGGUUAAGAGAUGAUGGAUAAUGAGAAAAUAUAUUAAUAAAAUGGGAAAAUACAAAUAGGGAAAAUAGUAUAUAUAUUAAUAGAUAAUACAACUUAUUAUAAGUAAAAACAAGUUAAGAUUAGUAGAUGGAAAUUUAGGAUUAGGUAAUUUAAUUGUAUUAUUAACAUUAAUAGUGUGUUAAAGUAUAUUGUAAAUUUAAAAUAUUAAGGAUUAGAAAUUGUGGGGAUUUUGAGACUCCCGGGAUUGAUUAAAUAAUUAAUUGAUUAAAUUGAUUAAAUUAAAUUGAUUAAGUGGAUUAAAUCCACUCCCGGGGUUGAUUAAAUAUUGUUAAUAUUUGGCGUUAUUACUAUACUAUUACUAUCCUACACAUUUCAAAUAUUGAAGUUAUGGUGGAAUAAUGAGUAAUUCUUAAAAUAUUAAAUAAUAGUAAUUUAGUAGGGAAUAACAAAUACCUGGCGCAAAGAAAUGUUAUUUAUAUUUAAAUAAAUUAAUGAGGAAAAUAAUAAAGGAUUAUGAAGAGAGAAUAGUAUUGUUGACGUUGGAAGAUUAGGAUUACACAUACUUAUUUGUAUUAUUAUUGUUAGCAUUGUUUAAAAAAGACUUGACCCAGUCCACAAAAUAUGUAUAGUGUGAAAAGAAAACUGCAAAUAAAACAUGUUUUAAAAAAAGAAAGAAAGAAAAUAAACUUCUAGAAUUUUUAAAAUUUGGGGGAAAAAAUCCUUUUAAUGAGGUGAGAGGCAGCCCAGCUGAGAGAUGGCUCAAAUGAGAAGUGGCCCAGGCAGAGACAGCUCAGUUAUCCAGCCCAACACCUGAGCGAAGGCAGUGAAUUUUAUUUUAUUUUUUUGAAAUGUUUGAAUUCUUAACGAUUUAAGAGAAAAUAUAAUACACCAUGGAAAAAGAGAUAGACACUUCAGUGCAAUGGUGGACAUAUCUGCAGAUAAAUUCAAAGUACACAGAGGAUAUAAAAAAAGAUCAAGUUCUACUAGAAGAAACAGAAUUAGAUAAAAUCAUACUAGGGAAUGAUCGAAAACUAAUAAGUAGACUAUACAAGUUUCUAAUUCGGUAUAAAAUGGAAGAGGAAAUGGUGAAAGACACGAUGAUCAAAUGGCCACAAAACUUUAACCAUGUGAUAGAACUAGAGAAGUGGGAGAGGAUGUGGAAAACGAACAUGAAACUAACAAUUGCGACGGCAUACAAGGAAAACCAGAUGAAAAUAUUUUAUAGAUGGCACCUCCCACCGGCCAGAAUUGUGAAAAUGUUCCCUACCAACUCCCCGAAAUGUUGGAAGUGCAAGACUGGCUACGGAACAUACUAUCACCAAUGGUGGACCUGUACGAUGGCACAAACAUUCUGGAAGAAAAUCAAAACUUGGAUAGUAGAAAUAAUUCAGAACCCAAUAGAGGGAAAACCGGAACAAUUUCUGUUAGGAAUCUCAAUAGACAAUUAUACUAAAGAAAUACAGUACCUUAUAUUGCAUAUAUUGACUGCAGCACGUAUUGUAUACGCACAAUAUUGGAAGAAGGAAACACUACCAACGGAAGAGGAUUUAAUUAAAAAAAUUCUAGAAAGUGCAGAAUUAGAUAAAUUAACUAAAGAAAUUAAGGGGAAAGAAGAAUCAAAGUAUUAUAAGGUUUGGAGUAGAUGGUAUGAAUGGUUGAAACAUAAGGAAAUAAGUUAAAUGAAUGAAGAAAGGAGGGGGAAAAUGUAUAUGAUCUUUUGUUAGUAAAGAAGAAAUGAUAUAAAGUAGAAAAUGAACGUCAAAUAAGUAUAUACUUAAAUAUUUGUAAAUAUUGAUGUAUAGAAAAAGCAGACCGCUGUGUAUAGCUGAAAGAAAAGUGAUAUUUUUCUUUUUUGUGUUACUUUUUGUUGUAUGUAUGUUUGAUUUUUAAUGUGUUAUUAAUGUGUUUAAAAUAAAAAAACUUUUUAAAAAUUAAAAAAAAAAGAAAAAGAAAAAGAAAGAGAUAGACACUUCAAAACAGGGAAGAUAGUAUCAGAUCCCUAUCGUGAUGCUGCCAUUUUUCUGGGGAAGGGGGGACCCUGGAUGUAUUACUUAGUUUAUUGUGUUCUUCCUUACCCCUCCCCCCCAUAGCCUGUAACCUUUUACUUUAUAACCUUUAUCCUGGUGCCUAGGCAUCCUGAGAUUUUCUCACCUUUUGGGGAAUGUAAGGGGAGGGAGGGCCAUGUGGGUUGUAUCACUCCAAAAGCCAGCAGAAGAUGACCCUGAGAACAUUUGCUUAUCGCAUUCUCAGGACAGCCAUUACAAUAACAUCUCCACACCUGCGGAUUGGCUGAAUGCACAUCGAACUGAAGGGAGGGGUUUCUAAUUCCUUUAUCCUAACUGUAUUGCCUGAGGGAAACUCAGAGUCUGCUUUUCUUUUGUCUGCUAUCACUCCUGUUCAAUAAAAGGUUCCUUUUGAAAUGCCAAA